RNAcentral lists this ribosomal RNA (643 nucleotides) under uncultured bacterium. RNAcentral describes it as "bacterial SSU rRNA". It matches the Rfam family "Bacterial small subunit ribosomal RNA", at positions 232 to 885 of the family's 1533-position model. The record is from RNAcentral.
CGCGGCCUAUCAGCUUGUUGGUGAGGUUAUGGCUUACCAAGGCGACGACGGGUAGCCGGCCUGAGAGGGUGUCCGGCCACACUGGGACUGAGAUACGGCCCAGACUCCUACGGGAGGCAGCAGUGGGGAAUAUUGCACAAUGGGCGCAGGCCUGGUGCAGCGACGCCGCGUGAGGGAUGACGGCCUUCGGGUUGUAAACCUCUUUCAGUACAGACGAAGCGUAAGUGACGGUAUGUACAGAAGAAGCACCGGCCAACUACGUGCCAGCAGCCGCGGUAAUACGUAGGGUGCGAGCGUUGUCCGGAAUUACUGGGCGUAAAGAGCUCGUAGGUGGUUUGUCGCGUUGUUCGUGAAAACCUGAGGCUUAACCUUGGGCGUGCGGGCGAUACGGGCAGACUGGAGUACUGCAGGGGAGACUGGAAUUCCUGGUGUAGCGGUGGAAUGCGCAGAUAUCAGGAGGAACACCGGUGGCGAAGGCGGGUCUCUGGGCAGUAACUGACGCUGAGGAGCGAAAGCGUGGGGAGCGAACAGGAUUAGAUACCCUGGUAGUCCACGCCGUAAACGGUGGGUACUAGGUGUGGGUUUCCUUCCUUGGGAUCCGUGCCGUAGCUAACGCAUUAAGUACCCCGCCUGGGGAGUACGG